This is a small nuclear RNA of Rhopilema esculentum, 128 nucleotides long. The record is from RefSeq and is a predicted model, not a curated record. NCBI's taxonomy places the organism in Eukaryota, Metazoa, Cnidaria, Scyphozoa, Rhizostomeae, Rhizostomatidae.
GUGUUGUAUGAGCCGAGAGAAGGUUAGCAUCUCCCUCGAUAAGGACGAGAAAGGACUCAGGUCCUUUAACAACACAUAUACGGUUAAGGCUAUGUCACUUACUUCGUGGCAUCUAACCAAAUUUUGGU